CUCUUGGGCUGCAGGUUCUCAUGUGCCCCCUCCGGACCUUUCAGCCAGUUCCAGUGUUUGUUUUCCUUUCCGAAGUGGGGACAGAUUUGGACAAGGGCGACAGCGGUCUAUUUUCUCCACCUGGAAGCUUGGAAUGAACGAGAGGGGAAACUCAAGACUGGUUUUACCCCGCUUCCUGGAAACAGCAAAGCAAGCAAGAGGCCCCACCGUCAGGGAAAGGGGUAGAGACCGAAGCCUCUGACCAGCAGAUAAAGAAUAUUUGUGCAUGAGCAGGCAUGUUCAUUUGACCCCCUGCCCGUGUGUGUUUGCAUGUUUCUCAAAAGGAGCAUAACAGAAUAGGUAUAGAACAUGUACUCCAUGCAGCCGAGAGGAUAUGCUGAUGCCCACGAAGAUCUGUUUACACUGAGUGCCCCUGAUGACCUCCCAGAGGAUGUACGACACAGUGCCAAGGCUCACACUUUUGCACAAGCACACACAAGCAGGCACGCACUACAGACGCAAGAGCACCUAAGUGAUGGAAACAUUCAGUGGGCUCCAUUUCAUCCCAAGAUUGUAACAGUUGCACUGAAAAUGAGGUCUGCAGGAACAGAGUGCUCUCCGUUUACAUGCUCUCUGGCUGGCUUCCAGCCCCCCUCCCCCUGCACCCCCAACCUGAGAUUCCCGGAGCAACAUGGCGAGCAAUAUUGGAGCCAUCCAGCUGUAGAGUUUUAAGCCAGAUUCCAUCUCAGACGAGGGAAACUAAGACGUAAAUGGAUCUAGUCGUCUACAAGUGGAUGCAUCCGAAUGGAGCGGAGGAGGCAGCUCCACAUUCUUCCACCUGCCGCUGAUUCAUAUUGGUUUGAUUAAAAAAAUACUCAGAAAUGCAAUUUUGAGCUUGACUUUAUUAAUGUCCUCCAUCAUUAAAAAAAUGUCAAAGAUGGUCAAAGGUGUUAAAAACACCAGAAACGCAAUUUUCACAAAUUGAACUUUAGUGAAAUAAUAAGGGAAUUGAUGGGUUAAUCAAUCGGUUCAGAGAGUAAAACGACGUGCUAAAAAGACAGAAGCUCUGGAACAAGUGUCUACAUUUGUUUCAAAACAGCCACAGACUGCAAGUCCAAUUAUAAGAAGGGUCCUUCUUCCCAAUUCCAAAACUCUCGUCCCAGCAUGGUUUACUCCCAAUCCACUCUGCUCCCCCACCAUCUGUUUUAUUCUGUCUUUGCCAUCUUUCCUCGCUGCUCCUUAGUGAAUAUCACUACUUCCAAGCUUUACACCCGUUCUCCUCACCACUCUCCCUUCACCAUACGUUCUCCAUGUCCUCCAUUGUCUCAGUUUAAAUCUUCUUUUAUCUGCUCCCCCCACCCCCCUCUCAUGCACUUCUUCCAUGUGUCUCUUCUUGUGAGUGGCGGGGUCUGCAGGGUGCUUGUUAUCCAGCACCUAUCCAGAAACCGGGAAGCCAGACAGCAUGACAGGCAGCCGUGCAGACAGACAUGCAAAAAGAGAGCAGAAUGACAGCCGGGCAGCUUUUGGAGCAAGACUGACAGAUGGGGGGGGGGUACCAGAGAGCAGGCGUCUGAGGUGGAGGCUCUAUGAGACAGAAUAAAACAGUCUGGAUAAAAGGUAAAUAAAAAAGGAAUGAAUUAGGGCUCUAAACCAGACAAAAAUGAUAGAUAAUGGCAAGGAACUAGAGAACACACAAGUAGAU
This 1681-nucleotide long non-coding RNA is filed under the name Oryzias sinensis (Chinese medaka). Its description in RNAcentral is "lncRNA (ENSOSIG00000000346.1)". Lineage: Eukaryota; Metazoa; Chordata; Actinopteri; Beloniformes; Adrianichthyidae. The record is from RNAcentral.